This 462-nucleotide ribosomal RNA is filed under the name Boletus sp. 148-438. RNAcentral describes it as "eukaryotic LSU rRNA". The stretch from base 1 to 106 matches the Rfam family "5.8S ribosomal RNA", at positions 50 to 154 of the family's 154-position model. The record is from RNAcentral. Lineage: Eukaryota; Fungi; Basidiomycota; Agaricomycetes; Boletales; Boletaceae.
GAAUUGCGAUAAGUAAUGUGAAUUGCAGAUUUCCAGUGAAUCAUCGAAUCUUUGAACGCACCUUGCGCUCCUUGGUAUUCCGAGGAGCAUGCCUGUUUGAGUGUCAUUGAAUUCUCAACCAUGUCUUGAUUGAUUUCGAGAGCAUGGCUUGGAGUUGGGGGUUGCUGGCAGCCAAACUUUAAACUUUGUUUGAGUUGGUCAGCUCUCCUGAAAUGCAUUAGCGAUGGGGUGGCUAGUCUGUGGACGUGCACGGCCUUCGACGUGAUAAUGAUCGUCGUGGCUGGAGCGUCUUAGACCAUGCAUGGAUAGCUCAUCGCUUCUAAUUCGUCUAGAGUCCAAGCUUGAGCUUAGCUACUAGUCUGGUCGUGAGGCCAGUCGAACGCAAGCACAACUUUGACAACUGGAGAUUUUGGAAACUUGACCUUUGACCUCAAAUCAGGUAGGACUACCCGCUGAACUUAA